RNAcentral lists this ribosomal RNA (301 nucleotides) under uncultured bacterium. RNAcentral describes it as "partial 16S ribosomal RNA". It matches the Rfam family "Bacterial small subunit ribosomal RNA", at positions 509 to 809 of the family's 1533-position model. The record is from RNAcentral.
CAGCCGCCACGGUAAUACGAAGGGUGCAAGCGUUACUCGGAAUUACUGGGCGUAAAGCGUGCGUAGGUGGUGGUUUAAGUCCGUUGUGAAAGCCCUGGGCUCAACCUGGGAAUUGCAGUGGAUACUGGGUCACUAGAGUGUGGUAGAGGAUAGUGGAAUUUCCGGUGUAGCAGUGAAAUGCGUAGAGAUCGGAAGGAACAUCUGUGGCGAAGGCGACUAUCUGGGCCAACACUGACACUGAGGCACGAAAGCGUGGGGAGCAAACAGGAUUAGAUACCCGGGUAGUCCCUGUCUCUUAUAA